UACGGAGGGUGCAAGCGUUAAUCGGAAUUACUGGUCGUAAAGCGCGCGUAGGUGGUUUGAUAAGCGAGAUGUGAAAGCCCCGGGCUUAACCUGGGAACGGCAUUUCGAACUGUCAGGCUAGAGUAUGGUAGAGGAGUGUGGAAUUUCCUGUGUAGCGGUGAAAUGCGUAGAUAUAGGAAGGAACACCAGUGGCGAAGGCGGCACUCUGGACCAAUACUGACACUGAGGUGCGAAAGCGUGGGGAGCAAACAGG
RNAcentral lists this ribosomal RNA (253 nucleotides) under uncultured bacterium. RNAcentral describes it as "partial 16S ribosomal RNA". It matches the Rfam family "Bacterial small subunit ribosomal RNA", at positions 524 to 776 of the family's 1533-position model. The record is from RNAcentral.